UUGUAGUCAUAUGCUUGUCUCAAAGAUUAAGCCAUGCAUGUCUAAGUAUAAGCAAUUGUACAGCGAAACUGCGAAUGGCUCAUUAAUAUCAGUUAUCGUUUAUUUGAUAGUACCUUAUCUACUUGGAUAACCGUGGUAAUUCUAGAGCUAAUACAUGCUAAAAAGCCCAACGUUUGAAGGGCUGUGUUUAUUAGAUACAAAGCCAAUGCCCUCCGGGGCUUCCUGGUGAUUCAUAGUAACCUCGCGGAUCGCACGGCCUUGUGCCGGCGAUGGUUCAUUCAAAUUUCUGCCCUAUCAACUCUCGACGGCUCGGUCUUGGCGAGCCGUGGUGGCAACGGGUAACGGAGGGUUAGGGCUCGACCCCGGAGAAGGAGCCUGAGAAACGGCUACUACAUCCAAGGAAGGCAGCAGGCGCGCAAAUUACCCAAUCCCAACUUUGGGGGAGGUAGUGACGAGGAAUACUGAUACAGGGCUCUUUUGGGUCUUGUAAUUGGAAUGAGUACGAAUUUAAAUCCCUUAACGAGGAACAAUUGGAGGGCAAGUCUGGUGCCAGCAGCCGCGGUAAUUCCAGCUCCAAUAGCGUAUAUUAAAGUUGUUGAGGUUAAAAAGCUCGUAGUUGAACCUCGGGCCCGGCCAGCCGGUCCGCCUCACCGCGUGUACUGGC
RNAcentral lists this ribosomal RNA (664 nucleotides) under uncultured Phyllachora. RNAcentral's name for it is "bacterial SSU rRNA". It matches the Rfam family "Eukaryotic small subunit ribosomal RNA", at positions 18 to 681 of the family's 1831-position model. The record is from RNAcentral. Lineage: Eukaryota; Fungi; Ascomycota; Sordariomycetes; Phyllachorales; Phyllachoraceae.